CUAUUUUCCAACUUUGAGCUGCUCAAUGGCGCUGAACAGGGUAGAUAAUUUACAUAUCAUAUGCUUGAUUAAACAGGAAAGGCUUCGAAAGUAAGACUU
Long non-coding RNA from Haliotis rubra (blacklip abalone), 99 nucleotides. RefSeq lists it as uncharacterized. The record is from RefSeq and is a predicted model, not a curated record. Lineage: Eukaryota; Metazoa; Mollusca; Gastropoda; Lepetellida; Haliotidae. The transcript is spliced from 3 exons.